UGGCUCAGUGGUAGAGUGCUUGCCUUGCAUGCAGGAGGCCCUGGGUUCGAUUCCUCAG
Non-coding RNA from Dipodomys ordii (Ord's kangaroo rat), 58 nucleotides. Lineage: Eukaryota; Metazoa; Chordata; Mammalia; Rodentia; Heteromyidae. The record is from Rfam.